UAUUUAAACUAAGCAUGCAUAAACCCCCACCCAAUUUCACUAUAACCUCAAUCAUUCGUUUACAAAUUAUUACAAACUAAGUAUAACCGAGUUACAGUAAUGAAGAAUAAUAAUAAGAAGUUAUUCUAUAUGGAGACUUCAGUUAGACCCGAUCUUCCAACCUCACUCUUUUCGAGUUUUAUAGUCUUUGCCAUGGUCUGCUUGCGGCAAAGCUCCCUAAGGCCCUAUUGGAUCUCUGGCCAUACUAUCACCCAAAAACUAACCAAACAUGUUUAACAAGUGCUGUGUGGAAUUACCAGCCUUGUGCAUCAAAGUUGAGUGAGUACUCAGAGGUGCCCAAAGCAAUCUUACACGAAGGGGGUAAAAACUAAUCUCUAAGAGUAGUGAGAGUGCAUGACAUAGUUUUAAAUAAAUUGAGUUGAGAAAAACAGUUUGAAAAUGAUCUAUAUAGAAUCAGUUCUUGAAAGAAAAUAGUAGAGGAGUGUGACAAUCUUGUAAGAAGGUGAGUAGGACAAUCUCAGAACUAGAAUAUCAUACAUAAUUCAGGAAAGCAAACACAAACAGGCGAAAGGGGAAAUAGGACAAGUAGUUCACAUGUAAGAGCGUAGUUGCACAUAAGUAGACAUCAGAGAAGGCAUUUCAGGACUUAAACAGUCACAACACAUUUCAUCCUAAAAUGUUUAUGGAAGAGGUUCAUGAUUACUUGGUAGCUAGAAAAGGUCGUGAUUACAUGCUGAUAAUGUACUGGGUUAGGGAGUAAGGUAGAAUUGCAUUAAACAAAUAAGAGAAGCAGUAGACAUGCUGAAUUAAGGGAAGGGGAUUCACAUCAAUGGACUAGCAAAGAGGCAUGCUAAUUGCAAGUUAAACACCAGAACCAUAAAUAGAAGCAUAAAAGAAAUAAGAGAAAGUGCAAUAUGCAUAUAUAUCUGUUGGUUUGGAAGCUGUAAAUCAAAGAGAAGACAGACCAGUCAAGAGUAAGAUAAUAGAGCAGUAGUGUGCGGGGAAGUAGAGAAGUACUGUGCAGACCAAGUGAGAAGCAAUGUACCGAGCAGUACGACAGUAGAGUAACAAAUUAUUCAGUCUUGGCUUUCAGCUGACUGGGAAACCAGCAAUCAAUAAGAGAAGCGAGAGAGAAUGUGCAAGAAAGAAAGAGAGAACAGUGAGUAUGCUUGUGUGUGUAAGAGAUAGUUUAGAGAAUUGUCAUUCUUCGUGUCAUGCAAAAAAAGAGGGUAGAGUAUUUGUAGUUCUGAAAACAAGUAAAGACUAGGGUAAACAAGUACUGACUUAACACAAAUAUGGAAACAAUACCAAUUGGAAUCAAUCAAAGGACCAACCAUAUUUUAAAUAGGGAGUCAUGAUUCGAAUGGGUACAAGUUAUAUCAUAUAAGGAUAGAAUCACUUAGACUACUAAAUCUACCAUAGUAGGAGUAGUAAAGCAUGUAACAUGUAAUAAGGGCCAAAUACAUAAAAUUUCAAAUACGGAAAAUAUAUAUUGAAUAUUUGAAAGUAUGUUUAGGUGCAUAAAUAUGGCAAAAAUAUAAAUUACCUCUGAAAAUUAGUCAAAGAAUCACGGAUGAGACUAAAAUCACAAGGAAUUAGUUCUAAGUAAGGAAAGCAUCUCACAAAUUAGGAAGUGAUUCAAAAUCAAGGAAAAACUUCUAAGGAAAACAUAUACAAAAUCAGGGAUUCGAAGAGAUGCAACAAAUCAGCAGAAUAUUUGGUAAACAAUGAAUAAUUAGACCUAUUAAACACAAUAGCCACGAAAAUCAGAGAACCCUAAGCAAGAAAUCACAGAAACAGUGGAAGGUUGGGACCCUAACAACAAGAUUAAAGCAUAGAACUUGGAGAAUAACCCAUAAGAUCAUACAAACAAGCAAAUAAUACAAACACAAACAUAUAGUACUCAAAAAUCAGAAAAUAAAGUGAUUUCGAAAAGGGGUUCAGAACCCCUUUUUUUUAAAAAGGAACAAAACGUUUAGAACUUGGGUAAUCAAAAAGAUCCAGUAAAGAGUAGUGUACAACAUAAAGGUGUGAGUUAAAAUCGUUAAAAAUACAGAGAUUUAAGUGGUCUGGGUAGAGAUUAGGGUUUCAUAAGAAACCAGUGAGAAGUAAGAGAAACCUGGUUGUGAAACUCAGCAGUAAUGGUGUUCAUGGAACCAUCGGACCAAAACCCAUAGAAGAAAGGCCGGAGGCAGACUAGUCAAAGCUUUCAACGACAUCUCGUAUGGUGGAGGAUCCUGGGGCCUCAGGAUUGAGGGAAUCGGCGAGAUAAGGUUUCACAGCGGCUUGGUGGUUGAAAGAGAUGAGGCUGGAGGUGGCCGGAGAGAUGGUGAAUGCCAUCAGAGAAGAACCAGAAGGUUCUUGAGUGAAGGAGAAGAGGAAGAGACCAAGUAGAGAGAGUGUCU
RNAcentral lists this long non-coding RNA (2405 nucleotides) under Nicotiana benthamiana. RNAcentral's name for it is "long non-coding RNA (NBEN_LNC003876)". Lineage: Eukaryota; Viridiplantae; Streptophyta; Magnoliopsida; Solanales; Solanaceae. The record is from RNAcentral.